URAAGCUAAAUAUUGGCGAGAGACCGAUAGCGAACAAGUWCCGUGAGGGAAAGAUGAAAAGCACUUUGGAWAGAGAGUUAAACAGUACGUGAAAUUGUUAAAAGGGAAACGAUUGAAGUCAGUCGUGUUUAUAGGAUUCAGCCGGUCUUGUGGUGUACUUCCUUUAAACGGGUCAACAUCAGUUUUGUCCGGUGGAUAAAGGCAGUAGGAAUGUGGCUCCCUCGGGAGUGUUAUAGCCUAUUGUCACAYWCACUGGAGGAGAYUGAGGACUGCAGCUCGCCUUUUGGCCGGGGUUCGCCCACGUUC
RNAcentral lists this ribosomal RNA (306 nucleotides) under Basidiomycota sp. MA5364. RNAcentral's name for it is "eukaryotic LSU rRNA". It matches the Rfam family "Eukaryotic large subunit ribosomal RNA", at positions 311 to 618 of the family's 3401-position model. Lineage: Eukaryota; Fungi; Basidiomycota. The record is from RNAcentral.